This 73-nucleotide transfer RNA is filed under the name Candidatus Iainarchaeum sp. RNAcentral describes it as "tRNA-Glu". It matches the Rfam family "tRNA". From Rfam's summary of the family: Transfer RNA (tRNA) molecules are approximately 80 nucleotides in length. Their secondary structure includes four short double-helical elements and three loops (D, anti-codon, and T loops). Further hydrogen bonds mediate the characteristic L-shaped molecular structure. tRNAs have two regions of fundamental functional importance: the anti-codon, which is responsible for specific mRNA codon recognition, and the 3' end, to which the tRNAs corresponding amino acid is attached (by aminoacyl-tRNA synthetases). tRNAs cope with the degeneracy of the genetic code in two manners: having more than one tRNA (with a specific anti-codon) for a particular amino acid; and 'wobble' base-pairing, i.e. permitting non-standard base-pairing at the 3rd anti-codon position. Lineage: Archaea; Nanobdellati; Candidatus Iainarchaeota; Candidatus Iainarchaeia; Candidatus Iainarchaeales; Candidatus Iainarchaeaceae. The record is from RNAcentral.
GCUCCUGUAGUGUAACGGCUAAGCACAGGGGCCUUUCAAGCCCUUAAUUCGGGUUCGAUUCCCGGCGGGAGCA